GAACAAUCCAUGUCAGAUCCCACCUCCCACAUCCAAGCUCAUGGGCUUGGACUACUACAUGGAUUCUUUGGCACUCACUCAGGAGCUGGGCUUUCCAACAUCCCAAGUGCCAUGGCUUAGAAGUGAGGGAGCGCAAUGAAUGUUUCAGAGUUGGGAGAUGACCAGAGUCACCACAACACUGCAAAGUGGUUCAAAGAGAAGACUGUUGUUAUUGGCUGCAUCUGAGAAACCCACCAAGGUGCCCUGUGAAGUUUUUACCUGACUAAUGAGCACAUCAUUUACCCUGCUCCAGGCAUGGCCUGGGACUGGGAUGCUUCAUGCAGUUCCAGCCAUUAGGGAGGAGAGCCCUUUCUCCAGGAGGAAAACCACAAUUUUUCAUUGCAUGAGCUGGAAAACCAAGCACCUACAUUCAUCUGCUUCUUUACUUACUCCUUCAGUGCUGUUGGAGGAUCUUCAGGUACCUCU
RNAcentral lists this long non-coding RNA (465 nucleotides) under Taeniopygia guttata (zebra finch). Its description in RNAcentral is "lncRNA (ENSTGUG00000029085.1)". Lineage: Eukaryota; Metazoa; Chordata; Aves; Passeriformes; Estrildidae. The record is from RNAcentral.